This 670-nucleotide long non-coding RNA is filed under the name Phasianus colchicus (ring-necked pheasant). Its description in RNAcentral is "lncRNA (ENSPCLG00000017187.1)". The record is from RNAcentral. Lineage: Eukaryota; Metazoa; Chordata; Aves; Galliformes; Phasianidae.
CAUUGUUCAAAAUGACUUGAUUAAUGUUUUCUUAUAAUUCAUAAUUCAUUUGUUUUACCCAUUUCCAGGCAGGUUUCCAGCACAGUGCAUUUAAAAAAAAAAAAAUACAAUUGGAAGUUAACUGUGCUUAGGCACCAAUUCAUGGGAUAGCUGAAAGCCAACUGAAGAGAUAUCAAAGACUACUGAAGAUGACAGUACAGAGGUGACAGAGCAGUGAUCAAGAUAAUGCUGUGAAUUCAAGGAAAAAAAGAAACCAAAGCACAACUGGACCUGAAGCAAAGCUUAUAGAAAAGUGGGAAAACGCCUUUUAAGGGGGAAGAGGAACAGGAACUGAUACAAGCCUAAGUGACAGUAUAACAAAAGACACAAAAGUGGUAACAGAUGGCCCUGUGUUAAGAUUAAAGCUCAAGAUUAGACCAAGAAGAGGUUCUUUCGAGGACAUUAAGGACCUCAACAGAAUCUACAAGAAACGAAGGAACUCAGUGAAAUUUCACCUGGCCAACUGAGAAGGAGACACCUGCCUUCACAAAUGCCAUCAUCCAUGAGGAUCCCAAAGAAAGCAGAAUCAGAAAUUUUUCAAUAGCUGGGUAUGUAUAUGUACAUGUAUAUGUAUCAAAAGAAAGGAUGUAAACAAUAUUAAAACUCAAAGCCUUCUUUUGGUUUAUUUAUA